GGGUUGUGAGGUUAAGCGACUAAGCGUACACGGUGGAUGCCCUGGCAGUCAGAGGCGAUGAAGGACGUGCUAAUCUGCGAUAAGCGUCGGUAAGGUGAUAUGAACCGUUAUAACCGGCGAUUUCCGAAUGGGGAAACCCAGUGUGUUUCGACACACUAUCAUUAACUGAAUCCAUAGGUUAAUGAGGCGAACCGGGGGAACUGAAACAUCUAAGUACCCCGAGGAAAAGAAAUCAACCGAGAUUCCCCCAGUAGCGGCGAGCGAACGGGGAGCAGCCCAGAGCCUGAAUCAGUGUGUGUGUUAGUGGAAGCGUCUGGAAAGGCGCGCGAUACAGGGUGACAGCCCCGUACACAAAAAUGCACAUGCUGUGAGCUCGAUGAGUAGGGCGGGACACGUGGUAUCCUGUCUGAAUAUGGGGGGACCAUCCUCCAAGGCUAAAUACUCCUGACUGACCGAUAGUGAACCAGUACCGUGAGGGAAAGGCGAAAAGAACCCCGGCGAGGGGAGUGAAAAAGAACCUGAAACCGUGUACGUACAAGCAGUGGGAGCACGCUUAGGCGUGUGACUGCGUACCUUUUGUAUAAUGGGUCAGCGACUUAUAUUCUGUAGCAAGGUUAACCGAAUAGGGGAGCCGAAGGGAAACCGAGUCUUAACUGGGCGUUAAGUUGCAGGGUAUAGACCCGAAACCCGGUGAUCUAGCCAUGGGCAGGUUGAAGGUUGGGUAACACUAACUGGAGGACCGAACCGACUAAUGUUGAAAAAUUAGCGGAUGACUUGUGGCUGGGGGUGAAAGGCCAAUCAAACCGGGAGAUAGCUGGUUCUCCCCGAAAGCUAUUUAGGUAGCGCCUCGUGAAUUCAUCUCCGGGGGUAGAGCACUGUUUCGGCAAGGGGGUCAUCCCGACUUACCAACCCGAUGCAAACUGCGAAUACCGGAGAAUGUUAUCACGGGAGACACACGGCGGGUGCUAACGUCCGUCGUGAAGAGGGAAACAACCCAGACCGCCAGCUAAGGUCCCAAAGUCAUGGUUAAGUGGGAAACGAUGUGGGAAGGCCCAGACAGCCAGGAUGUUGGCUUAGAAGCAGCCAUCAUUUAAAGAAAGCGUAAUAGCUCACUGGUCGAGUCGGCCUGCGCGGAAGAUGUAACGGGGCUAAACCAUGCACCGAAGCUGCGGCAGCGACGCUGAUGCGUUGUUGGGUAGGGGAGCGUUCUGUAAGCCUGCGAAGGUGUGCUGUGAGGCAUGCUGGAGGUAUCAGAAGUGCGAAUGCUGACAUAAGUAACGAUAAAGCGGGUGAAAAGCCCGCUCGCCGGAAGACCAAGGGUUCCUGUCCAACGUUAAUCGGGGCAGGGUGAGUCGACCCCUAAGGCGAGGCCGAAAGGCGUAGUCGAUGGGAAACAGGUUAAUAUUCCUGUACUUGGUGUUACUGCGAAGGGGGGACGGAGAAGGCUAUGUUGGCCGGGCGACGGUUGUCCCGGUUUAAGCGUGUAGGCUGGUUUUCUAGGCAAAUCCGGAAAAUCAAGGCUGAGGCGUGAUGACGAGGCACUACGGUGCUGAAGCAACAAAUGCCCUGCUUCCAGGAAAAGCCUCUAAGCAUCAGGUAACAUCAAAUCGUACCCCAAACCGACACAGGUGGUCAGGUAGAGAAUACCAAGGCGCUUGAGAGAACUCGGGUGAAGGAACUAGGCAAAAUGGUGCCGUAACUUCGGGAGAAGGCACGCUGAUAUGUAGGUGAGGUCCCUCGCGGAUGGAGCUGAAAUCAGUCGAAGAUACCAGCUGGCUGCAACUGUUUAUUAAAAACACAGCACUGUGCAAACACGAAAGUGGACGUAUACGGUGUGACGCCUGCCCGGUGCCGGAAGGUUAAUUGAUGGGGUUAGCGCAAGCGAAGCUCUUGAUCGAAGCCCCGGUAAACGGCGGCCGUAACUAUAACGGUCCUAAGGUAGCGAAAUUCCUUGUCGGGUAAGUUCCGACCUGCACGAAUGGCGUAAUGAUGGCCAGGCUGUCUCCACCCGAGACUCAGUGAAAUUGAACUCGCUGUGAAGAUGCAGUGUACCCGCGGCAAGACGGAAAGACCCCGUGAACCUUUACUAUAGCUUGACACUGAACAUUGAGCCUUGAUGUGUAGGAUAGGUGGGAGGCUUAGAAGUGUGGACGCCAGUCUGCAUGGAGCCGACCUUGAAAUACCACCCUUUAAUGUUUGAUGUUCUAACGUUGACCCGUAAUCCGGGUUGCGGACAGUGUCUGGUGGGUAGUUUGACUGGGGCGGUCUCCUCCUAAAGAGUAACGGAGGAGCACGAAGGUUGGCUAAUCCUGGUCGGACAUCAGGAGGUUAGUGCAAUGGCAUAAGCCAGCUUGACUGCGAGCGUGACGGCGCGAGCAGGUGCGAAAGCAGGUCAUAGUGAUCCGGUGGUUCUGAAUGGAAGGGCCAUCGCUCAACGGAUAAAAGGUACUCCGGGGAUAACAGGCUGAUACCGCCCAAGAGUUCAUAUCGACGGCGGUGUUUGGCACCUCGAUGUCGGCUCAUCACAUCCUGGGGCUGAAGUAGGUCCCAAGGGUAUGGCUGUUCGCCAUUUAAAGUGGUACGCGAGCUGGGUUUAGAACGUCGUGAGACAGUUCGGUCCCUAUCUGCCGUGGGCGCUGGAGAACUGAGGGGGGCUGCUCCUAGUACGAGAGGACCGGAGUGGACGCAUCACUGGUGUUCGGGUUGUCAUGCCAAUGGCACUGCCCGGUAGCUAAAUGCGGAAGAGAUAAGUGCUGAAAGCAUCUAAGCACGAAACUUGCCCCGAGAUGAGUUCUCCCUGACCCUUUAAGGGUCCUGAAGGAACGUUGAAGACGACGACGUUGAUAGGCCGGGUGUGUAAGCGCAGCGAUGCGUUGAGCUAACCGGUACUAAUGAACCGUGAGGCUUAACCUUACAACGCCGAAGCUGUU
This 2930-nucleotide ribosomal RNA is filed under the name Escherichia coli. Its description in RNAcentral is "bacterial LSU rRNA". It matches the Rfam family "Bacterial large subunit ribosomal RNA". The record is from RNAcentral. Lineage: Bacteria; Pseudomonadati; Pseudomonadota; Gammaproteobacteria; Enterobacterales; Enterobacteriaceae.